AGAGUUUGAUCCUGGCUCAGGACGAACGCUGGCGGCGUGCCUAAUACAUGCAAGUCGAACGCUGAAGAGAGGAGCUUGCUCUUCUUGGAUGAGUUGCGAACGGGUGAGUAACGCGUAGGUAACCUGCCUUGUAGCGGGGGAUAACUAUUGGAAACGAUAGCUAAUACCGCAUAACAAUGGAUGACACAUGUCAUUUAUUUGAAAGGGGCAAAUGCUCCACUACAAGAUGGACCUGCGUUGUAUUAGCUAGUAGGUGAGGUAACGGCUCACCUAGGCGACGAUACAUAGCCGACCUGAGAGGGUGAUCGGCCACACUGGGACUGAGACACGGCCCAGACUCCUACGGGAGGCAGCAGUAGGGAAUCUUCGGCAAUGGGGGCAACCCUGACCGAGCAACGCCGCGUGAGUGAAGAAGGUUUUCGGAUCGUAAAGCUCUGUUGUAAGUCAAGAACGAGUGUGAGAGUGGAAAGUUCACACUGUGACGGUAGCUUACCAGAAAGGGACGGCUAACUACGUGCCAGCAGCCGCGGUAAUACGUAGGUCCCGAGCGUUAUCCGGAUUUAUUGGGCGUAAAGCGAGCGCAGGCGGUUUGAUAAGUCUGAAGUUAAAGGCUGUGGCUCAACCAUAGUUCGCUUUGGAAACUGUCAAACUUGAGUGCAGAAGGGGAGAGUGGAAUUCCAUGUGUAGCGGUGAAAUGCGUAGAUAUAUGGAGGAACACCGGUGGCGAAAGCGGCUCUCUGGUCUGUAACUGACGCUGAGGCUCGAAAGCGUGGGGAGCGAACAGGAUUAGAUACCCUGGUAGUCCACGCCGUAAACGAUGAGUGCUAGGUGUUGGAUCCUUUCCGGGAUUCAGUGCCGCAGCUAACGCAUUAAGCACUCCGCCUGGGGAGUACGACCGCAAGGUUGAAACUCAAAGGAA
RNAcentral lists this ribosomal RNA (919 nucleotides) under human gut metagenome. RNAcentral describes it as "bacterial SSU rRNA". It matches the Rfam family "Bacterial small subunit ribosomal RNA", at positions 8 to 909 of the family's 1533-position model. The record is from RNAcentral.